UACGUAGGGUGCAAGCGUUAAUCGGAAUUACUGGGCGUAAAGCGCGCGUAGGCGGCUUUGUAAGUUAGAGGUGAAAGCCCGGGGCUCAACCCCGGAACUGCCUUUAAGACUGCAUCGCUUGAAUCCAGGAGAGGUGAGUGGAAUUCCGAGUGUAGAGGUGAAAUUCGUAGAUAUUCGGAAGAACACCAGUGGCGAAGGCGGCUCACUGGACUGGUAUUGACGCUGAGGUGCGAAAGCGUGGGGAGCAAACAGG
Molecule: ribosomal RNA, 253 nt
Filed under: uncultured bacterium
Lineage: Bacteria
Description: partial 16S ribosomal RNA
Rfam family: Bacterial small subunit ribosomal RNA
Source: RNAcentral